UUUAUUUCCUCUUUUAGAAGUGGUCAUGUGAAUUUUCUUAUUUAUUCCCAUCUCUCUAAUCAAAGAUGCUUUUUUAAAAAUGAUAUUUGUAUCUACAUCAUAUCUCUUCUCAAAGGAGGUUUCAUGGAGUUUGAUAAGUUGAUUGCUUCGUCAGAUAUGAUGCCCAAGGUUUUGAGAAGUCAUCUGCAACUCAACAAAGGGGAAUUGUUACUCUUUGCAAAAGACUUGAUGUAAUCCAACAAGCCCAGUCUGGAACUGGGAAGAUUGCAACUUUUUGUUCUAACAUUCUUCAGCAACUUGAUUAUGGUCUUUUGCAGUGCCAAGCAUGUUACUUCCAUUUAAGUAUGUGACACCUAUAGGUAGACACCUCUUGAGGUAUGCAUUUUCUACUAAGAACUUACAGACCCAUCCUUUCCUUUAUAUAUUUCUAAUUUACCAAAAACUUAGAUAAUGGCCGUUUUUAUUUAGAAACUAGUUCUUGAGGCCAAUAUUGAACAAUUUAGUUAGUUGGCGGAAAAUAUAGCAAUUAUAUAGGUUAAAUGAAUGACUUCGAAACUUACUGCAAUAUAUCAAAAUGCUUUCAACAUGUCUAUGUUUCAUGGUUAGACAUGUGUGGAAAUUUUUGUUAUGUUUAUGUGCUUUAAUUACAUAGUAGAUUGAUUUAUUGUCUAGUCUUGUGCAGAUUUUUUACUUCAAAAUAUUUUUUGCAACUAAUUUU
This is a long non-coding RNA of Cucumis melo (muskmelon), 718 nucleotides long. RefSeq lists it as uncharacterized. The record is from RefSeq and is a predicted model, not a curated record. NCBI's taxonomy places the organism in Eukaryota, Viridiplantae, Streptophyta, Magnoliopsida, Cucurbitales, Cucurbitaceae. The transcript has 3 exons.